This 522-nucleotide ribosomal RNA is filed under the name uncultured bacterium. Its description in RNAcentral is "bacterial SSU rRNA". It matches the Rfam family "Bacterial small subunit ribosomal RNA", at positions 28 to 545 of the family's 1533-position model. The record is from RNAcentral.
AUUGAACGCUGGCGGCAGGCCUAACACAUGCAAGUCGAGCGGCAGCGGGUCCUUCGGGAUGCCGGCGAGCGGCGGACGGGUGAGUAAUGCCUAGGAAUCUGCCUGGUAGUGGGGGAUAACUCGGGGAAACUCGAGCUAAUACCGCAUACGUCCUACGGGAGAAAGCGGGGGAUCUUCGGACCUCGCGCUACCAGAUGAGCCUAGGUCGGAUUAGCUAGUUGGUGAGGUAAAGGCUCACCAAGGCGACGAUCCGUAGCUGGUCUGAGAGGAUGAUCAGCCACACUGGAACUGAGACACGGUCCAGACUCCUACGGGAGGCAGCAGUGGGGAAUAUUGGACAAUGGGCGAAAGCCUGAUCCAGCCAUGCCGCGUGUGUGAAGAAGGUCUUCGGAUUGUAAAGCACUUUAAGUUGGGAGGAAGGGCAGUAAGUUAAUACCUUGCUGUUUUGACGUUACCGACAGAAUAAGCACCGGCUAACUUCGUGCCAGCAGCCGCGGUAAUACGAAGGGUGCAAGCGUUAAU